This 64-nucleotide transfer RNA is filed under the name Biomphalaria glabrata. RNAcentral describes it as "tRNA-Phe". It matches the Rfam family "tRNA". From Rfam's summary of the family: Transfer RNA (tRNA) molecules are approximately 80 nucleotides in length. Their secondary structure includes four short double-helical elements and three loops (D, anti-codon, and T loops). The record is from RNAcentral. Lineage: Eukaryota; Metazoa; Mollusca; Gastropoda; Planorbidae.
UAACAAAUAGCUUAUUGUUAAAGCAUAGUGCUGAAGAUACUAAAAAGAUUUUUAUCUUUGUUAA